This 507-nucleotide ribosomal RNA is filed under the name uncultured bacterium. RNAcentral's name for it is "bacterial SSU rRNA". It matches the Rfam family "Bacterial small subunit ribosomal RNA", at positions 21 to 518 of the family's 1533-position model. The record is from RNAcentral.
GGCUCAGAACGAACGCUGGCGGCGCGCUUAAGCAUGCAAGUCGAACGGCAAGAGGUAGCAAUACCUCCUAGAGUGGCGGACUGGUGAGUAACACGUGGGUGACAUGCCCUUCAGAUGGGGAUAGCUAUUAGAAAUAGUAGAUAAUACCGAAUACGAGCACAGGGGUUAGAGAUCUGUGAGGAAAGGAGCUAAGGCUCCGCUGAAGGAAUGGCCUGCGGCCCAUUAGCUAGUUGGUGAGGUAAGAGCCCACCAAGGCGAUGAUGGGUAUCCGGCCUUAGAGGGUGAACGGACACAUUGGGACUGAGAUACGGCCCAGACUCCUACGGGAGGCAGCAGCUAAGAAUAUUCCGCAAUGGACGAAAGUCUGACGGAGCGACGCCGCGUGGAUGAAGAAGGCCGGAAGGUUGUAAAAUCCUUUUGAAACUGAAGAAUAAGCGUUGUAGGGAAUGACAGCGUGGUGACAGUAGGUUUUGAAUAAGCAACGGCUAAUUACGUGCCAGCCGCAGC